AGUGGGGAAUCUUAGACAAUGGGGGCAACCCUGAUCUAGCCAUGCCGCGUGAGUGAUGAAGGCCCUAGGGUCGUAAAGCUCUUUCGCCUGUGAAGAUAAUGACGGUAGCAGGUAAAGAAACCCCGGCUAACUCCGUGCCAGCAGCCGCGGUAAUACGGAGGGGGUUAGCGUUGUUCGGAAUUACUGGGCGUAAAGCGCACGUAGGCGGACUAUUAAGUCAGGGGUGAAAUCCCGGGGCUCAACCCCGGAACUGCCCUUGAUACUGGUAGUCUUGAGUUCGAGAGAGGUGAGUGGAAUUACGAGUGUAGAGGUGAAAUUCGUAGAUAUUCGGAGGAACACCAGUGGCGAAGGCGGCUCACUGGCUCGAUACUGACGCUGAGGUGCGAAAGUGUGGGGAGCAAA
This 402-nucleotide ribosomal RNA is filed under the name uncultured Celeribacter sp. RNAcentral's name for it is "bacterial SSU rRNA". It matches the Rfam family "Bacterial small subunit ribosomal RNA", at positions 353 to 772 of the family's 1533-position model. Lineage: Bacteria; Pseudomonadati; Pseudomonadota; Alphaproteobacteria; Rhodobacterales; Roseobacteraceae. The record is from RNAcentral.